This 483-nucleotide ribosomal RNA is filed under the name uncultured bacterium. RNAcentral's name for it is "partial 16S ribosomal RNA". It matches the Rfam family "Bacterial small subunit ribosomal RNA", at positions 30 to 506 of the family's 1533-position model. The record is from RNAcentral.
AUUGAACGCUGGCGGCAGGCCUAACACAUGCAAGUCGAGCGGAUGAAGGGAGCUUGCUCCUGGAUUCAGCGGCGGACGGGUGAGUAAUGCCUAGGAAUCUGCCUGGUAGUGGGGGAUAACGUCCGGAAACGGGCGCUAAUACCGCAUACGUCCUGAGGGAGAAAGUGGGGGAUCUUCGGACCUCACGCUAUCAGAUGAGCCUAGGUCGGAUUAGCUAGUUGGUGGGGUAAAGGCCUACCAAGGCGACGAUCCGUAACUGGUCUGAGAGGAUGAUCAGUCACACGGGAACUGAAAAACGGUCCCAUCCCCCAGGGGGGGCCGGAGGGGGAAAUUUUGGAAAUGGGGCGAAAGCCUAAUCCAGCCAGGCCGGGGGGUGAAAAAAGGUCUUCGGAUUGUAAACCACUUUAAGUUGGGAGAAAGGGAAGUAAUUUAAACCCUUGCUGUUUUAAGGUUACCAACAAAAAAAACACCGCCUAACUUCGG